CUCUUUCUCCCCCUUCUAGUGAAACUCAAUGCUCUCACCCUCCCCUCUAACUGAAGCAAAGUUCAAGUUUGGUACCAAACCAAAACCCUAGGUUCCUCUUUCGCUUCUUCCUCCUUACCCUCUUGUAGAUCGGCACGUUGUCCCCAUCCUCCGUCUUCAUAUUCUCGGCGCCAUCGUCAACUCGUCAUCUUCUCUCCAUCGUCUGGUCGGCGUCUUCUGUCAAUCAAC
RNAcentral lists this long non-coding RNA (228 nucleotides) under Arachis ipaensis. RNAcentral describes it as "long non-coding RNA (AIPA_LNC001978)". The record is from RNAcentral. Lineage: Eukaryota; Viridiplantae; Streptophyta; Magnoliopsida; Fabales; Fabaceae.